UUAUUGAAAAUCAUAAAGACAAUCCAUUUCAAAAAAAAAAUUUGGUAUAUACUUGAACAAAAACCUCAUUUAUUUUGUUUCUUCCUAUUGACCACCUUACUUUCAAUAAAAACAAACCAACGUUACUACACUACUGGGCUUAUCUGUAGCGCUGCACGUGUAUCGACAUUUUUUUUUUCAGCUAUGAAGCUUUUUCAAGAUACUUUCCGUACAACAGAGUAAGAACAACUGUUGAGAAUACAGCGAGAAGAGACUUGAUGCGACAUUGUAUUAGUAAAGAAAACAAGAGGCUAAAAAAAUAAGUUAUAAUUAUUUCACUUUUCAAAUCUAAAAUUAUUUAUAAACAAGAGUUUAGUUGUAUGACUCGAUACUAAUGAAUUCUUUUUAAAAAUAUAAAUAAUCUUGAAAUUUUUUCAGGAAUGGGUCAUCCAUUGCUUUGCCAUCAAUCGGAUGACGAGUACCAUCUUUUCGGACUUUUUACAAGUCUUUGUUAAGAAAAGGAUUGUAGACUUAAAUGAAGGGAAAUCUGUCUUGUGAUCUGCCAUGUGUAAGAAAAAACUAUUGGACUUUGUCUUGUGCGACCCUAACCUUUUCAGUUUUGAAAAAAAAAUUCUGUCAAAAGAGUCGACAAAUGGAAAAUUUUCAUUCCUUCAAGUGUACAGCUAUCCAUAGGAACAUUACGAUGACGCUUGUGUGUUUGAAUUCCUAGUCAAAACUCAAGAAUAAUAUAUGUUAUAGAAAAAGGAGAUGUAUUGAUUCAGAUGGAGGUCGAAAUUAUUUUGGCGUUGCCGUCAUUUAAAAAAAAAAGGCAUUUUGAAAACCAUUGUGAUUGUUUCGUUCAUAAUACAAAUUUUUUCUUUAAGUGCAAAAAUGUCUUACCUUCGUGUUCAUAUGGUGUAUAACAAAUAAUGAAAAGACGCGUACGGUAAGUCAUCGCAUGUCAAAGAUUUUGACAGGUUUUCGCGCUUUUAUUAUAAAAAUUGUUUAUAAAUAAGGAAAUGCAUGAGAAGAAUUUUUGAGUAUGUACAUGCCUAGUUUUUUUUUUUUCAGUUUUUUUUUAAAACACGAAAGUCAAUGAAAACCGUUGAUAUUCUCCUAGAGCUCUCUUUUGUGUAAAAUCACGCUACCACUAGACAAAAUUUGAAACAUCCAUACGUGCACGAAUCAAAAAAAUGAAGUAGCUCAUAACACAAUCAUCAUUUCGAAAUACUUUUUAUUUUCCUUCAAUGUCUCUCCAUCCUAAAUACCCAAAAUUUUAAACUACGAAAAAUUGUUGACCAAACAUCUUUUGUUCUUGAAGUAAAACACCGCUUUCUCUACUCAAAAACCAUGAGUGUGGCUACAGCAAAACUGUAGGACGGUAAAUUCAUUUGUCACUUUAUCAAGGUCAUACAAUACAUAAAAUUCAAAUUGAAUCAAUGUCUGUGAACAAUUUUAACAUCAGCAUUUUAAACGGGAGGUAUCAGAAAUUUCCUUUUUAUUGUUCUCGUUUGCAAAGCUGGAUUGUUGAUUUUGCCUGAAUCGCUCAAACAUAAGAGAAAUACCUUCUACAUUUGAGCUAUUAAACAAUUAUUUUUUUAAAGUGUCUAUUAACGAGGACUCAAGUAGGAGUUGUAAAAUCUCCAUUAUUUUUUCAGUUAGUGAACAGAAAAAAAAAAAACGUUCGUUCUUUGCUUUUUUAGUACCAUUUUCAUUUUAGUGAACACCUGACUCGUAACUGUGCAGCUUGGUUCGUUACAAAACGCGGUUAACCUUAACUUAAAAAUAGCUAUAGUUCCCGAGUCAUGAUAUGAUGAAAAAGUUGUUAAGAAAAAUAUCAAGCAGUCAGUCGUAAUAAAAGGUUGAAACGGCGCCAUAAUUUUUACUUAUAACAACAAACGAGAGUAAAAAAUUAAUAUUGUAUACAAAGGAAAAACGGUAUUUUUCGUUUCAAAAAAUACAAUCGAUAACAAGCGAUUAAAAGGAAGAGAUUGUGAUUUGCAACGGGCAUCGAAAAACACGCAUAAGUGGUCACCCAAAAAUUAUGCAUGCAUUCUCGCCUUUUGCUAGAUUGAGCAUUUGACUAUAGCACACAUUCAUUCAUCAAUGUCAUUUUCAAAACAAAUUUUUGUAAAGUAUGUUUUUCGUUUAGUGCUGUAACCUUUGGACGUUUUCCUU
Hylaeus volcanicus is the source of this 2157-nucleotide long non-coding RNA. RefSeq lists it as uncharacterized. The record is from RefSeq and is a predicted model, not a curated record. NCBI's taxonomy places the organism in Eukaryota, Metazoa, Arthropoda, Insecta, Hymenoptera, Colletidae. The transcript is spliced from 2 exons.